GGUUAAGUUAAUAAGGGCGCACGGUGGAUGCCUUGGCACUAGAAGCCGAUGAAGGACGUGACUAACGACGAAAUGCUUUGGGGAGUUGUAAGUAAACAUUGAUCCAGAGAUGUCCGAAUGGGGGAACCCGGCAUGUGAAGCAUGUCACUCAUUACUGUUAAGGUAAUGAAGAGGAAGACGCAGUGAACUGAAACAUCUAAGUAGCUGCAGGAAGAGAAAGCAAACGCGAUUGCCUUAGUAGCGGCGAGCGAAACGGCAAGAGGGCAAACCGAUGUGUUUACACAUCGGGGUUGUAGGACUGCGUUGUGGGACGCAAGAUUAUAGAAGAAUUACCUGGGAAGGUAAGCCAAAGAGAGUAAUAGCCUCGUAAUCGAAAUAAUCUUAAACCCUAGCAGUAUCCUGAGUACGGCGAGACACGAGAAAUCUCGUCGGAAUCCGGGAGGACCAUCUCCCAACCCUAAAUACUCUCUAGUGACCGAUAGUGAACCAGUACCGUGAGGGAAAGGUGAAAAGCACCCCGGGAGGGGAGUGAAAUAGAACCUGAAACCGUGUGCCUACAACAAGUUCGAGCCCGUUAAUGGGUGAGAGCGUGCCUUUUGUAGAAUGAACCGGCGAGUUACGAUAUGAUGCGAGGUUAAGUUGAAGAGACGGAGCCGUAGGGAAACCGAGUCUUAAUAGGGCGCUUUAGUAUCAUGUCGUAGACCCGAAACCAUGUGACCUACCCAUGAGCAGGGUGAAGGUGAGGUAAAACUCACUGGAGGCCCGAACCAGGGCACGUUGAAAAGUGCUUGGAUGACUUGUGGGUAGCGGAGAAAUUCCAAACGAACUUGGAGAUAGCUGGUUCUCUCCGAAAUAGCUUUAGGGCUAGCGUCGAUGUUAAGUCUCUUGGAGGUAGAGCACUGUUUGAUUGAGGGUCCGUAGUCGAAAGGGAAACAGCCCAGACCACCAGCUAAGGUCCCAAAAUAUAUGUUAAGUGGAAAAGGAUGUGGGGUUGCACAGACAACUAGGAUGUUAGCUUAGAAGCAGCUAUUCAUUCAAAGAGUGCGUAAUAGCUCACUAGUCGAGUGACCCUGCGCCGAAAAUGUACCGGGGCUAAAACAUAUUACCGAAGCUGUGGAUACCUAUUAUAGGUAUGGUAGGAGAGCGUUCUAUGUGUGAAGAAGGUGUACCGUGAGGAGCGCUGGAACGCAUAGAAGUGAGAAUGCCGGUAUGAGUAGCGAAAGACAGGUGAGAAUCCUGUCCACCGUAAGACUAAGGUUUCCAGGGGAAGGCUCGUCCGCCCUGGGUUAGUCGGGACCUAAGGAGAGACCGAAAGGUGUAUCCGAUGGCCAACAGGUUGAUAUUCCUGUACUAGAGUAUAUAGUGAAGGAGGGACGCAGUAGGCUAACUAAAGCGUGCGAUUGGAAGAGCACGUCUAAGCAGUGAGGUGUGAUAUGAGUCAAAUGCUUGUAUCUCUAACAUUGAGCUGUGAUGGGGAGCGAAGUUAAGUAGCGAAGUUAGUGAUGUCACACUGCCAAGAAAAGCUUCUAGCGUUAAUUAUACUCUACCCGUACCGCAAACCGACACAGGUAGUCGAGGCGAGUAGCCUCAGGUGAGCGAGAGAACUCUCGUUAAGGAACUCGGCAAAAUGGCCCCGUAACUUCGGGAGAAGGGGCGCUGGCUUUAAGUCAGCCGCAGUGAAUAGGCCCAAGCAACUGUUUAUCAAAAACACAGCUCUCUGCUAAAUCGUAAGAUGAUGUAUAGGGGGUGACGCCUGCCCGGUGCUGGAAGGUUAAGAGGAGCGCUUAGCGUAAGCGAAGGUGUGAAUUGAAGCCCCAGUAAACGGCGGCCGUAACUAUAACGGUCCUAAGGUAGCGAAAUUCCUUGUCGGGUAAGUUCCGACCCGCACGAAAGGCGUAAUGAUUUGGGCACUGUCUCAACGAGAGACUCGGUGAAAUUUUAGUACCUGUGAAGAUGCAGGUUACCCGCGACAGGACGGAAAGACCCCAUGGAGCUUUAC
RNAcentral lists this ribosomal RNA (1999 nucleotides) under Klebsiella sp. RNAcentral's name for it is "partial 23S ribosomal RNA". It matches the Rfam family "Bacterial large subunit ribosomal RNA", at positions 1 to 2104 of the family's 2925-position model. Lineage: Bacteria; Pseudomonadati; Pseudomonadota; Gammaproteobacteria; Enterobacterales; Enterobacteriaceae. The record is from RNAcentral.